Chiroxiphia lanceolata (lance-tailed manakin) is the source of this 599-nucleotide long non-coding RNA. RefSeq lists it as uncharacterized. NCBI's taxonomy places the organism in Eukaryota, Metazoa, Chordata, Aves, Passeriformes, Pipridae. The record is from RefSeq and is a predicted model, not a curated record. The transcript has 3 exons.
AUCAUCUCCCACUCCCUCCAGUGACCUGCUCAUCCAGCAGUGUGGAACACCAGGUCUGGGAGUUGCUUCUGCCCAAGAUCCUUCUGCCCCAGGAGAGUGAAGAUUCUGCUCAAAACACCUAUUUUUCCCAACAAUACCUGUGGGAAUUUCUGCAGGCUGGCUGAAAAUUGCAGGAUUGCAGAGAUACUGCCCUGCCCUGUUGCUUCUUCUCUCCCUGAAAUCCUCAGUGACUUCAGCAGUUCAGGGCUGGCCCAGAAACUCCAGCAUCUCUGGGAUCCUUCAGGAUGAAAGGCUCUCCACGUGGGUGUCAUUCCCAGCGGGUUCCCAUGGGAUUCACAAGCAGAAAACCAGCAGCUGGAAGAUUCCCCCUCAUCCCUGGAAUGGAAGGAUCACUUCUUCCCGUGGAGCAGAGGUGAAUAUUCCUUACCAAACAAAUGUAGUUCGUCAAACAAAACCCCCCAAAUAUUGUCUUUUGUUAACUAAAAAGCGUCGAAAACCACUUCUGUGCUCAACAAUGAUGAGCUAAAAAGAUCUGAAGAGGUUGGGAAAUGAACAAUUUCAAUGCUUUCUCAUCCUUUUACAUGAAGCCAAUCUAAAAA